RNAcentral lists this ribosomal RNA (468 nucleotides) under uncultured bacterium. Its description in RNAcentral is "partial 16S ribosomal RNA". It matches the Rfam family "Bacterial small subunit ribosomal RNA", at positions 28 to 507 of the family's 1533-position model. The record is from RNAcentral.
GACGAACGCUGGCGGCGUGCUUAACACAUGCAGGUCGAACGGAAAGGCCCUGCUUUUGUGGGGUGCUCGAGUGGCGAACGGGUGAGUAACACGUGAGUAACCUGCCCUUGACUUUGGGAUAACUUCAGGAAACUGGGGCUAAUACCGGAUAGGAGCUCCUGCUGCAUGGUGGGGGUUGGAAAGUUUCGGCGGUUGGGGAUGGACUCGCGGCUUAUCAGCUUGAUGGUGGGGUAGUGGCUUACCAUGGCUUUGACGGGUAGCCGGCCUGAGAGGGUGACCGGCCACAUUGGGACUGGGAUACGGACCAGACUCCUACGGGAUGCAGCAGUGGAGAAUAUUGCGCUGUGGGCCGAAGCCUGAUGCAGCAACGCCGCGUGCGGGAUAACGGCCUUCGGGUUGUAUACCGCUUUCGCCUUUGACGAAGAGGGCGUGACGGUAAUGGGUAAAGAAGCACCGGGUAACUAGGUG